GGAGUUUGGACCGUGUCUCAGUUCCAAUGUGGGGGACCUUCCUCUCAGAACCCCUAAGGAUCGUAGGCUCGGUGGGCCGUUACCCCGCCGACUACCUAAUCCUACGCAUCGCCAUCCCUUACCGAUAAAUCUUUCAUACUCUUCUGAUGCCAUCUAAAUAUAUAUCGGGCAUUAAUUCGGUUUUCGCCGGGCUGUGCCCUACUACGGGGAAGGUUGGAUACGCGUUACUCACCCGUGCGCCGGUCGCCAUCACAGAUAGCAAGCUACCUGCAUGCUGCCCCUCGACUUGCAUGUGUUAAGCCUGUAGCUAGCGUUCAUC
This 319-nucleotide ribosomal RNA is filed under the name uncultured Prevotella sp. RNAcentral's name for it is "partial 16S ribosomal RNA". The record is from RNAcentral. Lineage: Bacteria; Pseudomonadati; Bacteroidota; Bacteroidia; Bacteroidales; Prevotellaceae.